This is a non-coding RNA of Danio rerio (zebrafish), 3814 nucleotides long. The record is from RefSeq and is a predicted model, not a curated record. NCBI's taxonomy places the organism in Eukaryota, Metazoa, Chordata, Actinopteri, Cypriniformes, Danionidae.
ACACACACACACACACACAAACACAAUAAAGGGUUCGUUCACCCGAGAAUGAAUAUUCUGUUAUAAAUUACUCGUCUUCAUGUCAUUCCAAACUCCUGAGAUGUUUCUAACCCCGUCUGUGACAACAAGACUCAGAGGAAUACUGCAUCCGUGAUCAUCUGCAACACAUUACAGCAUGAAUAUGGUCUCCUCUUGGAACAAUGCAGUGUGUUUGUUUAAAGCAGACUAAUGUGGCAGUAAACUGGGUCUGCUCCUCCUUGAGCAGAUUUCUGACCUAUAUAAGUUACUCUGUGCACAUUACAGGCUCCUGAAAUAGGCUUGGCUCUGACUCUGGCGCUGGUUGUGUCUUGUUUGUGUGGAUGGUGAUUUACAGCCGUGUGUUUGGCCUGGAUUUGUGUUGACCUGAUCAUGAAGCUCUGAUUGAACAAGCUCUGAGCUGUGGAGCCGACAGAACCAGACACAUCCACUGAACCAGAUCUAAAGCAGGCUGGAUCACAAUGACAGAUGUACGGGUUCUGUUAACUCAAGGGUUUAUCCGGAGUCUGAAUCAGAAGAAGCAACAGCACAACAAACAGACAAUCACACAGUGCACAGGAGAGUCUGUCUGAUUCAUUCCUCAUGAGGGAGUCUGUUUGAUUCAUUCCGCACGAGGGAGUCUGUUUGAUUCAUUCCGCACGAGAGAGUCUGUUUGAUUCAUUCCGCACGAGAGAGUCUGUUUGAUUCAUUCCUCACGAGGGAGUCUGAUUCAUUCCUCACGAGAGAGUCGGUUUGAUUCAUUCCGCACGAGAGAGUCUGUUUGAUUCAUUCCUCACGAGAGAGUCUGUUUGAUUCAUUCCUCACGAGAGAGUCUGUUUGAUUCAUUCCUCACGAGGGAGUCUGAUUCAUUCCUCACGAGAGAGUCUGUUUGAUUCAUUCCUCACGAGGAUUCUUUCCUCACGAGAGAGUCUGUUUAAUUCCUUUCUAAUGAGAGAGUUGGUUUUAUUAAUUUCUCACUAGGGAGUCGGUUUGAUUUCUUUCUCAUGAGAGAGUAUGUUUUGAUCCAUUUUGCAGAAGAGAAUUGGUUAGUUUCAUGUUUCAUGAAGGAGUCAGUUUUGGUUCAUUUCUUAUGAGAGAGUUGGUUUGAUUCAUUCCCUUGCGAGGAAGUCUGUUUGAUUCAUUUCUGAGGAAAGAGUCACUGAUUCAUUUCUCCGGAGAGAGUCAGAUUGAUUCAUUUCUCGGGAGAGAGUCAUGAGGGAUUCAAAUGUAUAUCUAUGUAAAUGUAAAGUUGUCCUGAUAUUAACCAACAAAUCAAACCUAUUUGAAUGUGAUAUAAAUAAUUAUAAUUAAUAUUCUGUCAGUUAUUCUCAAUGAUAGAUCAUUUAGUCAUUAGAGAUGCUUGUAAGCCAGCGCUGAGCUGGAGCUGGGUGAACGUGCUGUCUCAGAGCGGCUCUGGGUUGAUUCUUCAUCAGUUCAGUGUGCUUCUCGUCUGCUGGGUGUGUGUUAUUCUGUGUGUGCUGCUGCUGUGUUUGGGAUAUUCUGCAUGUGAGUGUGAACAGGUGAAUGGCCUGUAGUGUGCUGGUGUUGUGUUGUUGUGUUGUUGAUCCCGCUGUCCUGCAUCAGCAAACGUGUUGUCAUGUUAAACCACACGCUCUAAUCCUGCUGAUGAAGCUGCUGUGUGAUUAAUGUGCGUCACACGCCAGUGUUAAUGUGAUUAUGGAGGAUCUGCUGAGGGCCUGCUGUGUCCACACGUGCUGCUGAUCUGUGUGUGUGUGUGUGUGUGUGUUUGUGUGUGUGUGUUUAGUCUGAUCUGCAGUGUUGAGUCGGGAGUAAAGCUGAACAUUAUUAAUAAUAAUUAUUACAAAAUCAAAUCCAGACACUGUGCAUUAGUUCAGCAGUUCAUCAGCACGACUGGAUCCAGUCAGUUCAGUUCCUGUGUGUUCCUGUGUGAGUCCAGUGUUCAGAGCGGAAGAGUCCAAACACUGCAGAGCAAAUCAUGCAUGCGCAGCUCCACAAGACCCAAACCAAGCAGGACAGCGGAGGAACAAACCUCACCAGCUGACCAAAGAGAAGGAGACAAACCUGGAGAGCGACCUGGCUCAGCUGGGCUCCAUCAUUUCUCCUCUGGACGAACGUCCUGUGCAGAGCUGCAGUCUAGGCGCUGGAGAGCGCUGGACGUCCAUCGUGGAGAAGCUGCACGGCUGGUGUUCAGGCCGGCCCACAACAUCAAUGCGGAGACUCGUCUGUCACUGGGGUCUUACAGGAAUCAGUCUCCUGCUCUCCACUCCUCCAUCACCACCACAGCAGCGGCUCAGGAUACGGCCUGGUCCAGGAUUAUGGAGACCUCUAGAACUCCUCUGUGGUUGACAUCUUCUCUUGGAUCUCAUCAAUGGCGCUGCAGAAUCACUUGAGGCCUCGGAAUGAGUAUUCAGCCAGUCUCUGCCAGAGCACACUUAGCUUUGCUUAGCAUAGAUCAUUGAUUCAGAUUAGACCGUUAGCAUGAGUGAAGAGUUUGACGAGUUGUCCUGUUCAGAGCGCCACUCUCCUGCUGAUCAGGAUAAGGAGCGGUUCUGUUCUGUGCUCUCAGUGCGGUGGAGGGAUCCAGCAGUUUACAGAGCAGUGAUGUCUCACACACACACACACACACACAACAUCAGCGCAGGAAACGAGCACAUAACACAAUGACAGGUUAUUCCAACAUCCUCCAGCACUAGUGUGUGUGUGUGUGUGUGUGUGUUUGUGUGUUUCUGUGUCUGAAUUGUGUGUCAUUGUGUGUGUGUGUGUGUGCGUGUGCGUGCUGCUGCUGUGUUUGACCUACUUCAGUAUCUGCAUCAGCGUCACACACACUGCAGCUCCAACACUCCAGCACUGAUGAUGAAGCAGAGAAACACUCAAUUGGAGGAGGUUCCCCCGCCGGUGUCUCUGCUGCCCGUCUGUCCUCCUCCUCCUCUGGCCGCCGCUCUCUCUCAGCACCGCAGCAGCAGCAGGUUCUCCAGUCUGGGACGCCUCUUCAAACCCUGGAAGUGGAGGAAGAAGAAGAGCGAGAACUUCAAGCUGAGGGCCACAGCUCUGGAGAGGAAGAUGUCAGUGCGUCAGACUCGAGAGGAGCUGAUCAAGCGAGGAGUGCUGAAGGAGAUCUUCCAGAAAGGUUCAUGUCUCUUCAUCAUCUGUCAUUAUCCUGUAUAUCCCAUAUACUGCUGUGACUCCACACACUGAACUGUUCUCCGAGAUCUACACAGUCGGUUUGUGGUUUAGAAAUGGUUGUACAUGCUCAUUUAUUACUCCAUAAACGCCUCUUAUUGACCGUAUUUGGAAUGGUCAUGAAUAUUUAUGAGCUCUGCUCUGACACAGCUCUUGCUUCAUUCCUCAAAAAUAUUUGAACAUUUUAUUUCAUAUCUUAUUUUGGAUUUAGUAUAUUUGGAGAGGUUAGUUUCAGCUUGAGCAUGAGUUAUCUAAUGUAACCCAGAGGACGCUUCCUUUGCUCCCGAGCUGUGUUGUGGAUGAAAUACAGGCGAAAUUAUAGUUAAACCCAAAAAAAAGAGAUUGACAGGGAUCCGUUUAGAUUUUAAAGCUGUAAUGUGUAUGAAAACAUGGGGCUCAGCCUCCGCAUAAACAACAUCUUUACUCCAGGAAAAUUACUGUAAGAGCCGAGUGAUAAACUCAGCCGUCAACGUGUGUUUACUGCCGCAUUACAAACAUGCAGGAGCUACAGAGGCUAUAGCUGAAGGGGAGGAGCUAUCAGUGGUUAAGCAGAAGGGGAGGAGCUAUCAGGAGCUAAGCAGAAGAGGCAGGAGCUAUCAGGUGCUAAGCAGAAGGGGAGGAGCUAUCAGGUGCUAAG